UGGAGAUGGAGGUGGCCUGUAAAGCUUUGCAGGAUCGAGGCUUCCCAAAUCAUGCACAAUUAAAUGGAUCCCUUCUGAAGGAUGGUGGUCAACUAGAAUUCUUUAAUAGCCUCCAGGUGGAAGAUCAAGAGGCCUCCUUCACAGUAAGCACUAAGUGCCAGCCAAAGUUUAUUUUAGAAAUGGAGUUGAGGCAUGGGUUUUCAUUCUUCAACAGGAUCCCCCAAGAAAAUAGGCUGAUUGUCCAUUGUGGGAAACGACUCGAGCGUGCUAUAAACUUGGAAGUGAAAUCUGGCCUUUGCCAACUUCAAGCCAACUUGGAGAUGGAAGCAGGAAACCGAUGCCAGUGGCAAGCAGCGAUGGAGAACUCUUGCAAAAUGAUACAGGAUCUUGGAAUUCCAACAAAAAUGAAUGGAUCGGGGCAUGUGUUAAAAGAUAAGAUCAACCUUGAUUCUCAAGUGGUGCUUGCUGUUGGUGAAAACACGGCCUCUGCAUUCCUCCUUUUAAAAGGCACGGCUACUAGGCGAGAAUUUCAUGCGCUCCUGGAACAACACAUCAAAGGGGCCAUUAACUCUGGCAUUCCUGCAAGGGCAGAAGUGGAUUUAAUUUCAGAAAAGAGUCGUACCUUUUGUGAAAGGCUGCUUCAGUUCAAGGUGGAUGGCCAGCAGGUUUUGGCGUCUUCUUCUCUCAAGCGUAGGAGAGCCGGCGUGGCUUAUUCUGCCACUGUCGCACAGCCUUUUAACUUUGCGAUGAAACAUGUGGAGUUCAGCUCCCUGACCCAAAGCCGCAAAGGAGC
This 793-nucleotide long non-coding RNA is filed under the name Notechis scutatus (mainland tiger snake). RNAcentral describes it as "lncRNA (ENSNSUG00000018838.1)". The record is from RNAcentral. Lineage: Eukaryota; Metazoa; Chordata; Lepidosauria; Squamata; Elapidae.